UGUAAGCGUAUACCAUAGUUGUUGCAGUUAAAACGCUCGUAGUCGGAAUUUGGCAGUUCCGGAUGUGUGCACGUCGUGUGCGCACUUCGCGGGGAUUGCUUUUGUGGUCUUGCGUAGGAUGAGGCACUUUUAUUAGUGAACGUCCUCACGCAACCACUUUUUACUGUGAGAAAAUCAGAGUGCUCAAAGCAGGCAUUUGCCGUGAAUGUAUUAGCAUGGAAUAAUAGAAUAGGACUUGGUUCUAUUUUGUUGGUUUGUUGGGACUGAGUAAUGAUUAAGAGGGACAGUUGGGGGCAUUUGUAUUUCGGUGCUAGAGGUGAAAUUCUUAGAUUACCGAAAGACAAACUGCUGCGAAAGCGUCUGCCAAGGAUGUUUUCAUUGA
This 382-nucleotide ribosomal RNA is filed under the name uncultured eukaryote. RNAcentral describes it as "partial 18S ribosomal RNA". It matches the Rfam family "Eukaryotic small subunit ribosomal RNA", at positions 592 to 976 of the family's 1831-position model. The record is from RNAcentral.